Molecule: ribosomal RNA, 527 nt
Filed under: uncultured bacterium
Lineage: Bacteria
Description: bacterial SSU rRNA
Rfam family: Bacterial small subunit ribosomal RNA
Source: RNAcentral
ACAUACUAAGAACUUUCCAGAGAUGGAUUGGUGCCUUCGGGAACUUAGAUACAGGUGCUGCAUGGCUGUCGUCAGCUCGUGUCGUGAGAUGUUGGGUUAAGUCCCGCAACGAGCGCAACCCUUUUCCUUAUUUGCCAGCGGGUCAUGCCGGGAACUUUAAGGAUACUGCCAGUGACAAACUGGAGGAAGGCGAGGACGACGUCAAGUCAUCAUGGCCCUUACGGCCAGGGCUACACACGUGCUACAAUGGUCGGUACAAAGGGUUGCUACCUCGCGAGAGGAUGCUAAUCUCAAAAAAGCCGAUCGUAGUCCGGAUCGCAGUCUGCAACUCGACUGCGUGAAGUCGGAAUCGCUAGUAAUCGCGGAUCAGAAUGCCGCGGUGAAUACGUUCCCGGGCCUUGUACACACCGCCCGUCACACCAUGGGAGUUUGUUGCACCAGAAGUAGGUAGUCUAACCGCAAGGAGGACGCUUACCACGGUGUGGCCGAUGACUGGGGUGAAGUCGUAACAAGGUAAGCGUAGAUGA